Long non-coding RNA from Mastomys coucha (southern multimammate mouse), 1042 nucleotides. RefSeq lists it as uncharacterized. The record is from RefSeq and is a predicted model, not a curated record. The transcript has 3 exons. Lineage: Eukaryota; Metazoa; Chordata; Mammalia; Rodentia; Muridae.
UUGGGUUUCUUCUUGGACGAGAGGUUGUCAUAGAAAGUCUUGGCUUCCUCCCAGCGCGGCGCCGCGGCGGUCUCUGCCCCUGGCCCGGGUUCGCGGGCCUCUCGGGGCUGCCCUGGUUCCAUGCUCCGACUCGGAUCCGAUCUGGCCCAGCGGGAGAAGACAGCGGCGGAGACGCGGAGCUCUCCCGACUAGGCUGCGGAAGGGAGGCGCGUCCCGGGUGGGAAAGGCAGGCGGGCAGGGCCGGGAGGGAGUGCGAGUGAGGCGCCCCGCCCGCCGGGGGUGGGGGACCCGCAAGUCCAAGCCUAGCCUCCCGCUUGGCGUUUAGGGGAACUCUGAUUCCUUGAUCGACCCGAUCUGAAGCAAAUGGGGAGCAGGUGCAGCCUGCUUUCUGGAGCAGGCCGAGUGGAGCCGGACUUGUAGAGUACUGCGGAUUCGAGGUUGUGGGGAUGAAGUUCAAGGGCACGGAGAGAGGAAUGAAACCUAACAUUUUUUUCCCUCCUAAGAAGGUGACCCCUGGGAACGGGUAUGUUCGAGUAUCGAAGCUGCUCCUCUGCUAUCCUGUCCCUGCACACCAGGCCCCAUUGGCUGGAAUUUAGUAAGACCUGUGCCACCUGUGCCACCUGUGCCACCUCUUCAGACAAGGACUCAUGUCUAAGGCUGGGGUUGAACUUCAUAAAGUAGCCCGGAAAGACCUUGAACUCUUGAUCCUCCUGCUUCUACCUCCCAAGUGCUGGGGUUGUAAGCAUGUGGCUCCAUAUCCAUCUUAUGCAGUGUGGGGGAUUGCCCAUGGCUUUGUGCAUGCUGAUCAAAUACUCUACCAACUGAGCUAUAUCCCCAGACUGGUCCACAGGUCCUGAAUUGCCUAUCCCUGGAAUCCUUUGGGAUCUGUUUCCCUUUUUCUUUGAAGUAGCUUUCGUGGGUUCUGUAUGACUAGAAUCCCUGCCUGUACUGGCUGGUUUUGUGUGUCAACUUGACACAACCUGGAGUUAUCAGAGAGAAAGGAGACUCCCUUGAGGAAAUGUCUCUAGGAGAUCCAGGUAUA